This 460-nucleotide ribosomal RNA is filed under the name uncultured bacterium. Its description in RNAcentral is "partial 16S ribosomal RNA". It matches the Rfam family "Bacterial small subunit ribosomal RNA", at positions 338 to 795 of the family's 1533-position model. The record is from RNAcentral.
CCUACGGGAGGCAGCAGUGAGGAAUAUUGGUCAAUGGACGCAAGUCUGAACCAGCCAUGCCGCGUGCAGGAAGACGGUUCUAUGUGUUGUAAACCGCUUUUGUACGAGGGUAAACGCAGAUACGCGUACCCGUCUGAAAGUACCUUACGAAUAAGCAUCGGCUAACUCCGUGCCAGCAGCCGCGGUAAUACGGAGGAUUCAAGCGUUAUCCGGAUUUAUUGGGUUUAAAGGGUGCGUAGGCGGUCGGUUAAGUUAGCGGUGAAAUCCCGGGGCUCAACUUCGGACUUGCCUUUGAUACUGUUCGGCUAGAGAGUAGUUGCGGUAGGCGGAAUGUGUGGUGUAGCGGUGAAAUGCUUAGAGAUCGUACAGAACACCGAUUGCGAAGGCAGCUUACCGGGCUACUUCUGACGUUGAGGCACGAAAGCGUGGGGAGCGAACAGGAUUAGAUACCCUUGUAGUC